RNAcentral lists this transfer RNA (6020 nucleotides) under Homo sapiens (human). RNAcentral's name for it is "HSALNT0333387". The stretch from base 5436 to 5508 matches the Rfam family "tRNA". The record is from RNAcentral. Lineage: Eukaryota; Metazoa; Chordata; Mammalia; Primates; Hominidae.
CCUAAAUGUGAGACAAUUGUGAAAAGUGGAGGACAGAGCCACCUGGUUAAAUACAGCCCCAGCUUUCUGGUGAGAGGACUGAAACCAAGAUGUGUCAAGUAACUAGAAUGUGCCUGGACAGAUACUGUAGAAAGCAAAACCAUAAAGUUGUUCAUGAGCUUGUGGACGCACCUGCCAGCUGUGAAUAAGUGGCUCUAAUCCCGAACAACUUACCUAAAAAGAGCCUGAGAGCUGAACUGUGCAAUGGCCCACUUUCCAGUCCUCACUGACCACUGGGUUGCACACACUUUGGAGAUCUCUGAACAGCAGUGUCAAGGCUUUCAAAUAGAGUUAUCUUUGAAACGACAACACAUGAAAGUCUGGUUGGUACUUGGAGCUUAAAUACAAGGCAAUUGUGUGCCUGCAAAAACAAAAAUAGCAAUAUUAUCCUUAAGAUUUCAACAAGACACAGUGUCUCAUCACAUAAUCCAAAGAAGUCCAGGUUACAAGCCCCACAAUAUUCAGCAUUAUGAAAAAACAGGGAGAUCUUAAUUCACAUGGCAAAGAGAAUCCUCGAAUAACAAUAUUGAGAGGACACAGAUGUCAAAAUCAUCUGACACAUACAUUAAAGCAGAUAUUAUAACAAUGCUCCUAGAAUCGGGGAUAACAUUCGUGAAGUGAAUGGAAAGUUGGAAAGUCUCACCAAAUAUUUCGAAUACAUAAACACCAAUUUAAACUUAAGAAUUAAAAAAAUGUAUUAACCAAAACUCUUAGGGGAAAUAAAAAGCUUAAUUGGAGGAUCUCCAUAAUCGAAUGCAGAAGACUAAGGAAAAAGUCAAUGAACUUGAAAACAGAACACGAAUACCUACAUAAUCUGAACUAUAGAGAGAAAGGAGGAUUUUAUUGUCUCUGAACAGAGGCUCAGGCACAAAUAAAAAAUAACAAAUCCAACAUUCACAUUAUUGUAAUCUGGAAAGAAGAGGACAAAGUGGUCUUUGUGGGAUAAAACUUUGAACAAUUAAUAGCUGAAAAUGGUUCAAAUUUGUCAAAAGAUAUAAACCAGAUUUUUAAAGUUCAGUAAAUGUCAAUCAGGAUAAACCCAAAGAAACCCAUAGCAAGGCAUAUCAUAAUCAAACUGCUGAAAACUAAGAAAAUACAAAACAAUUUUGAAAGCAGCCAAAGGGAAAUGAAAGAGAAACUACCAAAUGAAUGAUUGUAGAUUUCGCAUCAGGAACCAUAGGGGCCAGAAAAAAUGUCAUAACAUUCGGUAAGUAACAAAAGAAAAAGACAUAUCGACCCAGAAUGCUAUGUGGAGCAAAAGUAUCUUCCAGACAUAAAGGCAAAUAAAUGCAUUCUCAGUGGAAGGUAAGUAAAUACAUUCUCAUUCUUAGGAAGACUGCUGGAAAAGAAUUAGCAAAGAUUUGAGAUAAGAAAAAUGAUACCAGAAGGAAACUUAGAACAUCAUCAGUGAAGGAACAAAAGCAGAAAUAGAACAUGUCUGGGUAGACAUAACAGACUAUUAUUCUUCCCUUGAGUUCCUUAAGGAGACUACGGAAAAGAAGAGUGACUAAGAUCUCUGAAGAAGGGAAAAGCUAGAUGACUGGGCCACAAGAGAAAAAAAGCAGCAAGACAGAGAUUUGUUGGUGCCAACUAAAUGAGCCCAACAGCCAGUGACAACAGAACUGCACUAAAAAAAGUCCCUCAUCAGCUCUUGAGAGCAGGUUCCUUAAAGGUGAACAAUAUUCCACAUACAAGGACUUUUUCAGCACCAUGCAUUAGAAAUGGAAGUGAAUGUUUAUUAUUUUUUGUAUAAGUUGGUUGAUACGGCUUUUCAGCUUCCCUCAGUAUCAUUAUCCAAAUUUUGUAGAUGACACUAAAGCUCAGAGGAGUUAAACCAUUUUCCUCAAAUCACAUAGCUUUAAAUAGGAAAACCAGAUAUGAAAAGCAGAUUUUUUUCUAAAUUAAAAAAAAAAAAAAAACUUGAGCUCUUGCUUUACCCUAGCACAUAGUCUCACCAUCUGUUUUCUCCAUGCCAGGUCAUUCAUGUAACAUUCAUUCACAUAACAAAUACAAAUAAAUGAGUGGAUUCAUUCAUCAGCUAUUAAUUCAGAAUCUCUUUUGUGUCUACCACACUAGGCUCAAGACUUCCCAGUGUCUUUGUCUCCUCUCCCUCAAAUCUCUCCACCCAAUGUCUUGACAAAUACUGUAGAUCCUUCCUGCACAGCAUCACCAGAAUGUUUUUCUUUCUUUUCAUUCACCUCUGUCAUCAUCCAUGCUAUGGUGUUUAUGGAGGAUGUAUUCUGCAGCAGGAAGUGUGAUGGGCACUGACGCUGCAGAAAGACUCCUGUUGUCCACCUCGGGAGCUGACACGAUAAAUGCGGGUAAAUCUCAAUCCUUUAAUAUCUUUAUGACUUCUUUCUCUUUCUCUUCAAUUUCUAUUUUCUCAUGUUCAAGCUCUGACAUUCAAAACUAAACACCUUUCUCUAACAUGUUGCUUUAAUUAUUUAAGCAUUCUGCCUGGGAUUUUUUCAAUUACUCUUGGGAGUUUUCAUAAAACUCUACCAACAUAUCUCCAAGUGGCCAGGCUUUUCAAUCACUGCUUCCCUCCGUGUGUAUUUCACACACACACACACACACACACACACACACACAGCACUUAAAUUGAACAGGUUUAUUUCUUCACACAGGAAUUCCUACGAACAGCCCGGUUUUCUCCACCAUAUGUCCACUCCUUCUCUGCAUAGCUGAAUUUUGAUUCUUACACUCUAAUAUUUUACAUAUUCUUACACUCUGAUAUGAUCUUGUCUCUUAUUCUUUAUGGCUCUGCUCUGUAAUUUUGUUGUUGUUGUUCUGAGAUAUAGUUGGACAUGUAACUUGUACAUGACACACCUUAGCAAGGAGGCAACCUAUAUCUCAGAUGCAAGUGAAAGAAGCACUCCCCAGGGGUUUCCUAAGGUAGUGGUCAGCACGCUGGCUUCAUUCCUGAAAGGGCCUAGUUAUGAAAACAACAGGAGCUUUUUGCCUUCCAGAAAUCUGUACCAUCUCAAAAUCCCCAGAGAGUCUCAGCUACAAGGAACAAGUGAUAAUACUAUCUCACUUUUAUAAACACACACACACAACACACACACACAAAAUCAUUUAAUCAUUUUUAAUUAUUUAAUCAUUUUUUAAAAAUCAGUGACACUUUAGAUGGGCAGGUCUAGGCAGGGCCUCCUUUCCUGGAAUGUGCCUUUUUCUGUCCCGGAAUACCCUAAACUUGACAUUUUGGCAGUGUGAGUUUUCCCUUUUUGACUUUCUCCUUGUUCCCUUUCCUCUUCCUUCUUUGCAGAGAAUGAGUAGCCACUGCACCUUGCCCUGGGCCAUCAGUGAGAAGAUCUGCUCUUAGUAGAGCCCUGCUUUCCCGCUGAAGGCCCUGAAAUCCCCUGUGUUCCAGGCCACCCACUAAGGAUCAAUAAAGCUCCCCUGAUGUGGGGGAAUUAGCUCAAGUGGUAGAGCGCUUGCUUAGCAUGCAAGAGGUAGUGGGAUCGAUGCCCACAUUCUCCAAACUUUAUUAUUUAGACCCUGGGUCUCCAAACACUCAGGUCUCCAAACCCAAGUCAGAGAACAGGAUGCUGCUUUGGUUCAAGAUGUAGGAGCAGCAACAAUACAGGGCUGGUGACGGCUCCCUCCUGGCAUUCAGUAUAGUGUAGAUCUACCGUGUAAUUAAUUUUCUGCUUCUUUGAGGAGCUGUGAAACCAAGGGACAUAAACAAUUGCUCUUUUCUCCCUGUUUCUGCCUGUAGCUUGAAUGUGAGGCAACUGUGAAAAGUGCAGGGCAGAGCCACCUGGGUAAAUACAGCCCUGGCUUUCUGGUGAGAGGACUGAAACCAGGAUGUGUCAAGUAACUAGAAUGUGCCUGGACAGAUACUGUAGAAAGCAAACCCAUAAAGUUGUUCAUGAGCUUGUGGACGCACCUGCCAGCUGUGAAUAAGUGGGUCUAAUCCCAAACAACUUACCUAAAAAGAGCCUGAGGACUGAACUAAACAAUGGUCCGCUUUCCAGUCCUCACUGACCACUGGUUGCACACACUCCAGAGAUCUCUCAUCCGCAGUGUCAAGGCUUUCAAAUAGAGUUAUCUGUGAAACAACAACACAUGGAAGUCUGGUUGGUACUUGGAGCUUAAAUACAAGGCAAUUGUGUGCCUGCAAAAACAAAAAGAGCAAUAUUAUCCUUAAGAUUUCAACAAGACACAGUGUCUCAUCACAUAAUCCAAAGAAGUCCAGGUUACAAGCCCCAAAAUAUUCAGCAUUAUGAAAAACCAGGGAGAUCUUAAUUCACAUGGCAAAGAGAAUCCUUGCAUAACAAUAUUGAGAGGACACAUAUGUCAAAAUCAUCUGACACAUACAUUAAAGCAGUUAUUAUAACAAUGCUCCUAGAAUUACGGGAUAGCAUUCAUGAAGUGAAUGGAAAGUUGGAAAGUCUCACCAAAUAUUUGGAAUAUGUAAACACCAAUUUAAACUUAAGAAUUAAAAAAAGUAUUAACCAAAACUAUUAGGGGAAAUAAAAAGCUUAAUUGGAUGAUCUCAAUAGCAGUAUGCAGAAGACUAAGGAAAAAGUCAAUGAACUUGAAAACGGAACAAGAAUACCUACAGAAUCUGACCUAUAGAAAGAAAGGAGGAUUUUAUUGUCCCUGAACAGAGGCUCAGGGACAAAUAAAAAAUAACAAAUCUAACAUUCACAUUAUUGUAAUCUGGAAACAUUCACAUUAUUGUAAGAGGACAAAGAGGUCUUUGUGGGAUAAAACUGUGAAGAAUUAAUGGCUGAAAAUGUAUCAAAUUUCUCAAAAGAUAUAAACCAGAUUUUUAAAGUUCAGUAAAUGUCAAGCAGGAUAAACCAAAAGAAACCCAUUGCAAGACAUAUCAUAAUCAAACUGCGGAAAAUUAAGAAAACACAAAACAAUUUUGAAAGCAGCCAAAGGGAAAUGAAAGAUAAAAUACCAAAUGAAUGAUUGUAGAUUUCUCAUCGGGAACCCAGGAGCCAGAAAAAAAUGUCAUAACAUUCAGUAAAUACCAAAGGAAAAAUACAUUAUCAACCCAGAAUGGUAUGUGGAGCAAAAGUAUCUUCCAGACAUAAAGGCAAAUAAAUGCAUUCUCAUUGGAAGGUAAAUAAAUACAUUCUCAGUCCUAGCAAAACUGCUGGAAAAGAAUUAGCAAAGGUUUGAGAUAAGAAAAGUGAUACCAGAAGGAAACUUAGAACAUCAUCAAUGAAGGAACAAAAGCAGAAAUAGAAAAUGUCUGGGUAGACAUAACAGACUAUUAUUCUUCUCUUGAGUUCCUUAAGACAAUGAGUAGCCACUGCUGUUUGCCCUGGCCCAUCAAUGAGAAGAUCUGCUCUUAGAGCCCUGCUUUCCUGCUGAAGGCCCUGAAAUCACCUGUGUUCCAGGCCACCUGCUAACAAUAAAUAAUGCUGCCCUGAUGUGGGGAAUUAGCUCAAGUGGUAGAGCGCUUGCUUAGCACGCAAGAGGUAGUGGGAUCGAUGCCCACAUUCUCCAAGCUUUAUUAUUUAGACAUCGUGUCUCCAAACACUCAGGUCUCCAAACCCAAGUUAGUGUCUGAGAACAGGAUGCUGCUUUGGUUCAAGACGUAGGAGCAGCAAUAAUAGAGGGCUGGUGAUGGCUCCCUCUUGGCAUUCAGUAUAGUGUAGAUCUACCAUGUAAUUAAUUCUCUGUUUCUUUGAGGAGCUGUGAAACCAAGGGACAUAUACAACUGCUCUUUUCUCCCUGUUUCUACCUGCAGCUUUGUCCUAAAUGUGAGACAAUUAUGAAAAGUGCAGCGCAGAGCCACUUGGGUAAAUACAGCCCCGGCUUUCUGCUCAGGGGACAGAGUUUGAGGCACUGCAGAGGAACCGGCCAAAGUAUGAGACCCAUAUAUUGAGAGUAACAGAGUGUAAAGUUCAAAAAAAUCAAAAUAUUUAAAGAUUUAUCAUGGGUCUUGAUGACAUGAUGGAAUCUCUCUACUCUCUGGACUUAUUAUGUGUGGUAAUAAAUUUACUUUUUAAAAGCCA